UUCCAGGUUGGAGACCCCGCUUCUGCCUUCUUUUCCUUUGUUUGGAAAAGAAUUACAUGUAAAACUCCCAGCUAUUGAUACUCUCCAUUGAAUUACUAUAAUUUCUUCAGUGCAAAUGAUGGGUUUGUUCCUCUGAAGAAAAAUUGUUGGAAUGCUUGAAUAGUGGAGUGAAGAACUAGAUUUUAUCUAUAUAUAUAUAGAUAGAAAGCAAAGGAAAUCCAGUGUCCAGAAGUGUCACUCUUUUGUGACAAUACAUAAAGUCCCUGCUUGCAGAAGACAAGUGCUAAAUGAGACUUGAAAUACUUUGACAGCAUAUUACCAGGAUUUUUCUGUCAUUCAACAGAGGGGAAAUAACAUCAAAGACAAUUUCAUCCUUUUGGCCAAAAAGAAAUUACAAAACACAUUAUUCAUCCUGCAAUUUAUCAGCCUACAAAAUAAACACAUACAGCAGGACCAUGUGAGUUUUUUACACAGUCAGGUUUGCAUUUAUUUAGUGACUGUUUCCUUCAAUUAGGAGUUCGUUGUUCUGGGCACUGCAGAAGGAUGCAGCAGAAAGGUGUUCUAUUCUCUUAAGAAUCACAUGACAUUAACCAUACUCCAGGUGUUUUCACUCCCUCUCUCCUCUUUGCUCCCUGAUUUUUUGCAGCUUCUGCCUGUUCCUUGGAGAUUAUUUCUGUUCCUGGUAAAAGAUGAGGGAAGAAUUUGUGUUUAUGAAAUCACAGAGUUUAUUUCUGUCCAGUUGGCCUAAAUAAUAUUCACUACAUUUAGAGUGGUCAAUGCCCCUUUUUCAUCCCAGAUUUCAUUUUGUUCUGGUUAUGUGCAUAUAAA
Long non-coding RNA from Cyanistes caeruleus (blue tit), 828 nucleotides. RefSeq lists it as uncharacterized. The record is from RefSeq and is a predicted model, not a curated record. Lineage: Eukaryota; Metazoa; Chordata; Aves; Passeriformes; Paridae.